GACGAACGCUGGCGGCGUGCUUAACACAUGUAAGUCGAACGGAAAGGCCCUGCUUUUGUGGGGUGCUCGAGUGGCGAACGGGUGAGUAACACGUGAGUAACCUGCCCUUGACUUUGGGAUAACUUCAGGAAACUGGGGCUAAUACCGGAUAGGAGCUCCUGCUGCAUGGUGGGGGUUGGAAAGUUUCGGCGGUUGGGGAUGGGCUCGCGGCUUAUCAGCUUGUUGGUGGGGUAGUGGCUUACCAAGGCUUUGACGGGUAGCCGGCCUGAGAGGGUGACCGGCCACAUUGGGACUGAGAUACGGCCCAGACUCCUACGGGAGGCAGCAGUGGGGAAUAUUGCACAAUGGGCGGAAGCCUGAUGCAGCAACGCCGCGUGCGGGAUGACGGCCUUCGGGUUGUAAACCGCUUUCGCCUGUGACGAAGCGUGAGUGACGGUAAUGGGUAAAGAAGCACCGGCUAACUACGUG
This 468-nucleotide ribosomal RNA is filed under the name uncultured bacterium. RNAcentral's name for it is "partial 16S ribosomal RNA". It matches the Rfam family "Bacterial small subunit ribosomal RNA", at positions 28 to 507 of the family's 1533-position model. The record is from RNAcentral.